Molecule: ribosomal RNA, 2904 nt
Filed under: Enterobacter sp. MGH 2
Lineage: Bacteria; Pseudomonadati; Pseudomonadota; Gammaproteobacteria; Enterobacterales; Enterobacteriaceae
Also listed under: 6 other names
Description: bacterial LSU rRNA
Rfam family: Bacterial large subunit ribosomal RNA
Source: RNAcentral
UUAAGCGACUAAGCGUACACGGUGGAUGCCCUGGCAGUCAGAGGCGAUGAAGGACGUGCUAAUCUGCGAAAAGCGCCGGCGAGGUGAUAUGAACCUUUGACCCGGCGAUGUCCGAAUGGGGAAACCCAGUGCAAUCCGUUGCACUAUCGUUAACUGAAUACAUAGGUUAACGAGGCGAACCGGGGGAACUGAAACAUCUAAGUACCCCGAGGAAAAGAAAUCAACCGAGAUUCCCCCAGUAGCGGCGAGCGAACGGGGAGCAGCCCGGAGUCUGAAUCAGCUUGUGUGUUAGUGGAACGGUCUGGAAAGUCCGACGGUACAGGGUGAUAGUCCCGUACACGAAAGCACACAUGCUGUGAACUCGAAGAGUAGGGCGGGACACGUGGUAUCCUGUCUGAAUAUGGGGGGACCAUCCUCCAAGGCUAAAUACUCCUGACUGACCGAUAGUGAACCAGUACCGUGAGGGAAAGGCGAAAAGAACCCCGGCGAGGGGAGUGAAAAAGAACCUGAAACCGUGUACGUACAAGCAGUGGGAGCCUCUUUAUGGGGUGACUGCGUACCUUUUGUAUAAUGGGUCAGCGACUUAUAUUCUGUAGCAAGGUUAACCGUAUAGGGGAGCCGAAGGGAAACCGAGUCUUAACUGGGCGUUAAGUUGCAGGGUAUAGACCCGAAACCCGGUGAUCUAGCCAUGGGCAGGUUGAAGGUUGGGUAACACUAACUGGAGGACCGAACCGACUAAUGUUGAAAAAUUAGCGGAUGACCUGUGGCUGGGGGUGAAAGGCCAAUCAAACCGGGAGAUAGCUGGUUCUCCCCGAAAGCUAUUUAGGUAGCGCCUCGUGAACUCAUCUUCGGGGGUAGAGCACUGUUUCGGCUAGGGGGCCAUCCCGGCUUACCAACCCGAUGCAAACUACGAAUACCGAAGAAUGUUAUCACGGGAGACACACGGCGGGUGCUAACGUCCGUCGUGAAGAGGGAAACAACCCAGACCGCCAGCUAAGGUCCCAAAGUCAUGGUUAAGUGGGAAACGAUGUGGGAAGGCACAGACAGCCAGGAUGUUGGCUUAGAAGCAGCCAUCAUUUAAAGAAAGCGUAAUAGCUCACUGGUCGAGUCGGCCUGCGCGGAAGAUGUAACGGGGCUAAACCAUGCACCGAAGCUGCGGCAGCGACGCUUAGGCGUUGUUGGGUAGGGGAGCGUUCUGUAAGCCGUUGAAGGUGUGCUGUGAGGCAUGCUGGAGGUAUCAGAAGUGCGAAUGCUGACAUAAGUAACGAUAAAGCGGGUGAAAAGCCCGCUCGCCGGAAGACCAAGGGUUCCUGUCCAACGUUAAUCGGGGCAGGGUGAGUCGACCCCUAAGGCGAGGCCGAAAGGCGUAGUCGAUGGGAAACAGGUUAAUAUUCCUGUACUUGGUGUUACUGCGAAGGGGGGACGGAGAAGGCUAUGUCAGCCGGGCGACGGUUGUCCCGGUUUAAGCAUGUAGGCGGAGGUUCCAGGUAAAUCCGGUACCUUAUUAACGCUGAGGUGUGAUGACGAGGCACUACGGUGCUGAAGUGAUAAAUGCCCUGCUUCCAGGAAAAGCCUCUAAGCAUCAGGUAACACGAAAUCGUACCCCAAACCGACACAGGUGGUCAGGUAGAGAAUACCAAGGCGCUUGAGAGAACUCGGGUGAAGGAACUAGGCAAAAUGGUGCCGUAACUUCGGGAGAAGGCACGCUGAUAUGUAGGUGAAGUCCCUGCGGACGGAGCUGAAAUCAGUCGAAGAUACCAGCUGGCUGCAACUGUUUAUUAAAAACACAGCACUGUGCAAACACGAAAGUGGACGUAUACGGUGUGACGCCUGCCCGGUGCCGGAAGGUUAAUUGAUGGGGUUAGCGGCAACGCGAAGCUCUUGAUCGAAGCCCCGGUAAACGGCGGCCGUAACUAUAACGGUCCUAAGGUAGCGAAAUUCCUUGUCGGGUAAGUUCCGACCUGCACGAAUGGCGUAAUGAUGGCCAGGCUGUCUCCACCCGAGACUCAGUGAAAUUGAACUCGCUGUGAAGAUGCAGUGUACCCGCGGCAAGACGGAAAGACCCCGUGAACCUUUACUAUAGCUUGACACUGAACACUGGUCCUUGAUGUGUAGGAUAGGUGGGAGGCUUUGAAGCGUGGACGCCAGUCUGCGUGGAGCCAACCUUGAAAUACCACCCUUUAAUGGCUGGUGUUCUAACGUAGACCCGUAAUCCGGGUUGCGGACAGUGUCUGGUGGGUAGUUUGACUGGGGCGGUCUCCUCCCAAAGAGUAACGGAGGAGCACGAAGGUUGGCUAAUCCUGGUCGGACAUCAGGAGGUUAGUGCAAUGGCAUAAGCCAGCUUGACUGCGAGCGUGACGGCGCGAGCAGGUGCGAAAGCAGGUCAUAGUGAUCCGGUGGUUCUGAAUGGAAGGGCCAUCGCUCAACGGAUAAAAGGUACUCCGGGGAUAACAGGCUGAUACCGCCCAAGAGUUCAUAUCGACGGCGGUGUUUGGCACCUCGAUGUCGGCUCAUCACAUCCUGGGGCUGAAGUAGGUCCCAAGGGUAUGGCUGUUCGCCAUUUAAAGUGGUACGCGAGCUGGGUUUAGAACGUCGUGAGACAGUUCGGUCCCUAUCUGCCGUGGGCGCUGGAGAAUUGAGGGGGGCUGCUCCUAGUACGAGAGGACCGGAGUGGACGCAUCACUGGUGUUCGGGUUGUCAUGCCAAUGGCACUGCCCGGUAGCUAAAUGCGGAAGAGAUAAGUGCUGAAAGCAUCUAAGCACGAAACUUGCCCCGAGAUGAGUUCUCCCUGAGACCUUGAGUCUCCUGAAGGAACGUUGAAGACGACGACGUUGAUAGGUCGGGUGUGUAAGCGCAGCGAUGCGUUGAGCUAACCGAUACUAAUGAACCGUGAGGCUUAACCUU